Molecule: ribosomal RNA, 545 nt
Filed under: Macrophthalmus banzai
Lineage: Eukaryota; Metazoa; Arthropoda; Malacostraca; Decapoda; Macrophthalmidae
Description: partial 16S rRNA
Rfam family: Bacterial large subunit ribosomal RNA
Source: RNAcentral
GUCUUUUUGGAAGUAGAAAAAGUCAAGCCUGCCCGCUGAUUAAUUCAAGGGCCGCGGUAUUUUGACCGUGCGAAGGUAGCGUAAUCAUUAGUUUUUUAAUUGGAAUCUUGUAUGAAUGGUUAGACAAGAGAAACUCUGUCUCUUUAUUAAAAAUUGAAUUUAACUUUUAAGUGAAAAGGCUUAAAUUAAUUAAAGGGACGAUAAGACCCUAUAAAGCUUUAAUAUAAAAUGUUAUUCGGCUAAAUUUCUUAUAAAAGUCUUAUAGCAUAGUUUAUUUUAUUGGGGCGAUAAGAGUAAAAUGAUUUUUAACUGCUUGAAUUUAAAGACAUAAAAUUAUUGUAUAAAUAGAUAAGAGAUCCUUGAUAAAGAUUAUAAGUUUAAGUUACUUUAGGGAUAACAGCGUUAUUUUUUUUGAGAGUACAUAUCGAAAAAAGAGUUUGCGACCUCGAUGUUGAAUUAAAAUUUCUUUAUAGAAGCAGAAACUAUAAAAGUUGGUCUGUUCGACCUUUAAAAUUUUACAUGAUUUGAGUUCAAACCGGCGUGAG